AGCCGGAGCCAGCCUGGCGCUGAGGAGGUGCAGACGAGAAACCGACAGUCACGUUAGCGGUUCCAACAACCCUUCAAGACCGUAUCACAGAUGUCUUAGAGGUCACCGUCGGUUACUUCUUUGGGGUCCCCCCCCAACUCCUCUCAGGCAAAGGUGGGAGAAUGAAAUGCAGCUUCCAACGCAUCGAGCGCACGCACAUCUACAGAAGUGGAAACGGUGCGCGUUUGACCCUGCUGCCCUGUCGCAGUUACUAAACACAUCACGAAGGAGUAGGCCUCGCUUUCUUUUCUCCCCGGGUGUAUGAAUGGGAAUCACAACACGCAUAUUUCUUGUGAUGGAGCUUGACUCCCUCGAGUUGGCUGGAUUGGUGACUGAGUAUGCAAAGAGAAAAAUGGUAACUCGACAGCAGAGGAAACUGGCAGACACCACCCUUACCGCCUGAUGGAGGUUAACAUCGUUAGUAAUGUCAUGUUCACACCAGGUACGAGCACACGGCAACAAAACUGUUCUGGGAUAUCCUUUCCCAAAACCCCCAACUUCACUCAUCACAAAAAAAAAAAAAAAAAAAAAAAAGAUAAGAUAAAUGCAAAUUGAUGAACAUUGUUUAAGAUACCUAAUGAAUCCUCAUCAAAAGUGUUUGGAUCAUGAAAAACAAGGAUAACAGAACAACUGUUAGAGAUGAGAGAAAACUAAACAGAUAAAAUGAUUAAAUGCAACUUGAUGGCCUGGAAUGGGAUCCUGCAACACAAGGACGAUAGUGGGGAAAAAAUUUAGUAAAAUCCAUAUCGUUUGUAAGGUAAACAGUAUUGUAUCAAUGUUAAUUUCUUUGCUUUGACGAAUGUAAACAUAUCUGUGAAAUAGUAACAUGAGUUGAAAGUGUGUGGAAGUUACAUGGGAACUCUAUAUUUGCCACGUUACACUAAAUCUAAAAUUGUUUAAAAAU
Molecule: long non-coding RNA, 943 nt
Organism: Lontra canadensis (Northern American river otter)
Lineage: Eukaryota; Metazoa; Chordata; Mammalia; Carnivora; Mustelidae
Exons: 2
Source: RefSeq, a predicted model, not a curated record